AAGCAUCUAAGCGCGAAGCGAGCCCUGAGAUGAGUCUUCCCUGAUACUUUAAGUAUCCUAAAGGGUUGUUCGAGACUAGAACGUUGAUAGGCAGGGUGUGUAAGCGUUGUGAGGCGUUGAGCUAACCUGUACUAAUUGCCCGUGAGGCUUAACCAUACAACACCCAAGGGGUUUUGUA
Molecule: ribosomal RNA, 178 nt
Rfam family: Bacterial large subunit ribosomal RNA (bases 1-156)